Molecule: ribosomal RNA, 705 nt
Filed under: Paenarthrobacter nicotinovorans
Lineage: Bacteria; Bacillati; Actinomycetota; Actinomycetes; Micrococcales; Micrococcaceae
Description: bacterial SSU rRNA
Rfam family: Bacterial small subunit ribosomal RNA
Source: RNAcentral
CUGGGGGAUUAGUGGCGAACGGGUGAGUAACACGUGAGUAACCUGCCCUUGACUCUGGGAUAAGCCUGGGAAACUGGGUCUAAUACCGGAUAUGACUCCUCAUCGCAUGGUGGGGGGUGGAAAGCUUUUGUGGUUUUGGAUGGACUCGCGGCCUAUCAGCUUGUUGGUGGGGUAAUGGCCUACCAAGGCGACGACGGGUAGCCGGCCUGAGAGGGUGACCGGCCACACUGGGACUGAGACACGGCCCAGACUCCUACGGGAGGCAGCAGUGGGGAAUAUUGCACAAUGGGCGCAAGCCUGAUGCAGCGACGCCGCGUGAGGGAUGACGGCCUUCGGGUUGUAAACCUCUUUCAGUAGGGAAGAAGCGUAAGUGACGGUACCUGCAGAAGAAGCGCCGGCUAACUACGUGCCAGCAGCCGCGGUAAUACGUAGGGCGCAAGCGUUAUCCGGAAUUAUUGGGCGUAAAGAGCUCGUAGGCGGUUUGUCGCGUCUGCUGUGAAAGACCGGGGCUCAACUCCGGUUCUGCAGUGGGUACGGGCAGACUAGAGUGCAGUAGGGGAGACUGGAAUUCCUGGUGUAGCGGUGAAAUGCGCAGAUAUCAGGAGGAACACCGAUGGCGAAGGCAGGUCUCUGGGCUGUAACUGACGCUGAGGAGCGAAAGCAUGGGGAGCGAACAGGAUUAGAUACCCUGGUAGUCCAUGCCGU